UCCCUGGUGGUCCAGUGGUGAAGACUCUGCGCUAUCACUGCAGUGGGCCUGGGUUCGAACCCUGGUUGGGGAA
Non-coding RNA from Orcinus orca (killer whale), 73 nucleotides. Lineage: Eukaryota; Metazoa; Chordata; Mammalia; Artiodactyla; Delphinidae. The record is from the annotation of a RefSeq genome assembly.